CAGCCUGAUGCGCGACGCCGCGUGAGGGAUGAAGGCCUUCGGGUUGUAAACCUCUUUCAGCAGGGAAGAAGCGAAAGUGACGGUACCUGCAGAAGAAGCGCCGGCUAACUACGUGCCAGCAGCCGCGGUAAUACGUAGGGCGCAAGCGUUGUCCGGAAUUAUUGGGCGUAAAGAGCUCGUAGGCGGUUUGUCGCGUCUGCUGUGAAAACCUGAGGCUCAACCUCGGGCUUGCAGUGGGUACGGGCAGACUAGAGUGCGGUAGGGGUGACUGGAAUUCCUGGUGUAGCGGUGGAAUGCGCAGAUAUCAGGAGGAACACCGAUGGCGAAGGCAGGUCACUGGGCCGCAACUGACGCUGAGGAGCGAAAGCAUGGGGAGCGAACAGGAUUAGAUACCCUGGUAGUCCAUGCCGUAAACGUUGGGCACUAGGUGUGGGGCUCAUUCCACGAGUUCCGUGCCGCAGCAAACGCAUUAAGUGCCCCGCCUGGGGAGUACGGCCGCAAGGCUAAAACUCA
RNAcentral lists this ribosomal RNA (513 nucleotides) under uncultured bacterium. RNAcentral's name for it is "bacterial SSU rRNA". It matches the Rfam family "Bacterial small subunit ribosomal RNA", at positions 379 to 903 of the family's 1533-position model. The record is from RNAcentral.